This 1132-nucleotide ribosomal RNA is filed under the name Triticum aestivum (bread wheat). RNAcentral's name for it is "partial small subunit ribosomal RNA". Lineage: Eukaryota; Viridiplantae; Streptophyta; Magnoliopsida; Poales; Poaceae. The record is from RNAcentral.
UUAACAUAUUAUCCCUUCAUACGACACUGUAGAACUGUUCUAUUAACCAUGCGAUUACUGAAGAUUUUUAUCGUCGGUUCAACAAACCAGGUCUUUAGGAGUAUAAGGAUUGUUCGUAGUUGGUUACCGAAUAACGGAAGUAUUUAAGUACGAUGUUGGUUACCGAAUAACGGAAGUGUUUACAUACAGAACGUUUAAUUGUUGUUUUCAUUCACAAGUUUGGUGUUUCAACAUCGUGUUGAAUGAUACAGUCCAGUAAGUACAAUAAAGCGGGAAUAUAUAUACAUCUUCUUAGUCAAUAAGAAAACUCUGGAUGACAUGUAUUAUUUUAGUCUACAGAUAAAAUAAAGGAUAAAUUUUAGGUCAUAACACCGGUACAUCUGUGUUGAACAUCAUACUGAUACUCCUGAUUUCCCAAUCUGAUGUUUAAACGCUGUAGUUAUUUAAAGAACACCGUCCCCGGUAUUGAAGCAUGUGUUUCAAAGGUGUACCGUUAUUUUUGAAGAAUUCAACGAGUUUCAUCCUCUAACACUCCCAAACGUUAAAGCGUAUCGAGUCGAUUUAUAUCUAACAUCUAAGUUCUGCGAUGUACGUCUUAAAGUUCCUUCGUUGUUUUGUUGUCCAUACUUUUAUACAAAUAUUCAGUUACAUAUUCUAAACUAAAUUAUAGAGUUGAUAAAUAGUUUGACUCCGAGUCAUAAGAAAAAUAGAGUUUUUCUUGAGAUGCCGGAACGUCCAGUGAUGAUUUAGUCCAUUACAAAUGUAUCGUAACGAUUGACUUUAGAUCUUGUGUUAGGGACAAACAGUAUAGUAUCGUAACGAUUCUACCUCUGUUCUACUGAUGUAUAUCUGUGUACGUUUUGUAGAUCUCCUGUUAUACGUAUCAUAUCAAUCGAACGAUGAGGGUGGGGGUGAUAAAGUUUAUAAGAACGGUAGUCCGUUACCAGUAAAUUACAGUCACUUGACGGUAAGGUAUCCACGCAUACCCCUUAAGCUUUUCGUUCCGUCCACUUAUAGUUAGUUUUCUCCUGCAAUGAUGCCCGGAAUGUUCACCCUCUCUACAACUUCUCCGAUUACGUUCGUAGUAUGGGCAUCGACUUUUACAACUGCUAUGAAUGUGCUGCCAAGGUCC